AUCCGUCUGCCGGGACCAAUGAGCCACCAAAAAUAAAUUGGCUGCUUGAAAAGUUGACCUUGCGGGGGGAGUAUCAACUAUGGAAACUUUGUUCGGCGAGGCUCUGUGAGGAGAGUCUGUGGGGAAAACACUUCCUGGGGAAAUGUCGUAGGAAAUGACCUUUGCUGGGGAUAUGAACUUGCUAAUCGCCCUCAAGCUGGGGAUUAACAAAUCUGUUAAAAAU
Molecule: long non-coding RNA, 223 nt
Filed under: Lathyrus oleraceus (garden pea)
Lineage: Eukaryota; Viridiplantae; Streptophyta; Magnoliopsida; Fabales; Fabaceae
Description: Pisum sativum (pea) long non-coding RNA (PSAT_LNC029717)
Source: RNAcentral